RNAcentral lists this unclassified non-coding RNA (286 nucleotides) under plant metagenome. RNAcentral describes it as "partial contains small subunit ribosomal RNA, internal transcribed spacer 1, and 5.8S ribosomal RNA". The stretch from base 239 to 286 matches the Rfam family "5.8S ribosomal RNA", at positions 1 to 49 of the family's 154-position model. The record is from RNAcentral.
UUUCCGUAGGUGAACCUGCGGAAGGAUCAUUAACACGUCCCUACACGUUUUUUCUUAUAAACGUCCAAAAAUGAAUUGCGAGAACUUGUUUUAUUAUCCUCCCUUUUUUCACUUUUUUAAAACGCCCUGAAUUAUUUGAAAGAAACAAAACUGAAAUGUGUGAUAAGUCAAGAAAGGAAGAGGAGAAAAAAAGUCAUUUUUUCCUCCUUUUCUUUUUUUUUGAUCCAAAAUGUUGAACAACUCUUAACAACGGAUAUCUUGGUUCUCGCAUCGAUGAGAACGCAGC